GGUGCAGCCGGGUCUGCAAGUCAGAUGUGAAAUCCAUGGGCUCAACCCAUGAACUGCAUUUGAAACUGUAGAUCUUGAGUGUCGGAGGGGCAAUCGGAAUUCCUAGUGUAGCGGUGAAAUGCGUAGAUAUUAGGAGGAACACCAGUGGCGAAGGCGGAUUGCUGGACGAUAACUGACGGUGAGGCGCGAAGUGUGGGAGCAAACA
Molecule: ribosomal RNA, 205 nt
Filed under: uncultured bacterium
Lineage: Bacteria
Description: partial 16S ribosomal RNA
Rfam family: Bacterial small subunit ribosomal RNA
Source: RNAcentral